RNAcentral lists this ribosomal RNA (246 nucleotides) under uncultured bacterium. RNAcentral's name for it is "partial 16S ribosomal RNA". It matches the Rfam family "Bacterial small subunit ribosomal RNA", at positions 333 to 593 of the family's 1533-position model. The record is from RNAcentral.
GCCCCCCUACGGGGGGCAGCAGUGGGGAAUAUUGGGCAAUGGGCGCAAGCCUGACCCAGCAACGCCGCGUGAAGGAAGAAGGCUUUCGGGUUGUAAACUUCUUUUAUGAGGGACGAAACAAAUGACGGUACCUCAUGAAUAAGCCACGGCUAACUACGUGCCAGCAGCCGCGGUAAUACGUAGGUGGCAAGCGUUAUCCGGAUUUACUGGGUGUAAAGGGCGUGUAGGCGGGACUGAAAGUCCGCU